UGGGGAAUAUUGGACAAUGGGGGCAACCCUGAUCCAGCCAUGCCGCGUGAAUGAUGAAGGCCUUCGGGUUGUAAAGUUCUUUUGGCGGGGACGAUGAUGACUGUACCCGCAGAAUAAGCUCCGGCUAACUUCGUGCCAGCAGCCGCGGUAAUACGAAGGGAGCAAGCGUUGUUCGGAAUUACUGGGCGUAAAGGGCGCGUAGGCGGUUUAACAAGUCAGGCGUGAAAGCCCCGGGCUCAACCCGGGAAUAGCGUUUGAGACUGUUUUUCUAAGAGUUCGGAAGAGGUAAGUGGAAUUCCCAAUGUAGCAGUGAAAUGCGUAGAUAUUGGGAAGAACACCAGUGGCGAAGGCGGCUUACUGGUCCGACACUGACGCUGAGGCGCGAAAGCGUGGGGAGCAAACAGGAUUAGAUACCCCCGUAGUCCCUGAGCGGGCUGGCAAGGCGCAU
Molecule: ribosomal RNA, 448 nt
Filed under: uncultured bacterium
Lineage: Bacteria
Description: bacterial SSU rRNA
Rfam family: Bacterial small subunit ribosomal RNA
Source: RNAcentral